AUUAAACGCUGGCGGCAUGCCUUACACAUGCAAGUCGAACGGCAGCACGGGGGCAACCCUGGUGGCGAGUGGCGGACGGGUGAGUAAAGCAUCGGAACGUAUCCUGGAGUGGGGGAUAACGUAGCGAAAGUUACGCUAAUACCGCGUAUUCUGUGAGCAGGAAAGCAGGGGAUCGCAAGACCUUGCGCUCUGGGAGCGGCCGAUGUCGGAUUAGCUAGUUGGUGGGUAAAGGCCUACCAAGGCGACGAUCCGUAGCGGGUCUGAGAGGAUGAUCCGCCACACUGGGACUGAGACACGGCCCAGACUCCUACGGGAGGCAGCAGUGGGGAAUUUUGGACAAUGGGCGCAAGCCUGAUCCAGCCAUGCCGCGUGAGUGAAGAAGGCCUUUGGGUUGUAAAGCUCUUUCGGCGGGGAAGAAAUUGCACGGGUUAAUACCCUGUGUAGAUGACGGUACCCGAAUAAGAAGCACCGGCUAACUACGUGCCAGCAGCCGCGGUAA
RNAcentral lists this ribosomal RNA (499 nucleotides) under uncultured bacterium. RNAcentral describes it as "bacterial SSU rRNA". It matches the Rfam family "Bacterial small subunit ribosomal RNA", at positions 29 to 523 of the family's 1533-position model. The record is from RNAcentral.